Molecule: small nuclear RNA, 102 nt
Organism: Nannospalax galili (Upper Galilee mountains blind mole rat)
Lineage: Eukaryota; Metazoa; Chordata; Mammalia; Rodentia; Spalacidae
Source: Ensembl
AUACUUUAGCAACACAUAUACUAAAACCGGAAUAAUACACAGUAUAUUAGCAUGGUUCUUGUGCAAAGAUGGCACUCAAAUUGAAAAGUGUUCCAUAUUUUA